CCUACGGGAGGCAGCAGUGAGGAAUAUUGGUCAAUGGGCGAGAGUCUGAACCAGCCAAGUAGCGUGAAGGAUGACUGCCCUAUGGGUUGUAAACUUCUUUUAUAUGGGAAUAAAGUGUUCCACGUGUGGGUUUUUGUAUGUACCAUAUGAAUAAGGAUCGGCUAACUCCGUGCCAGCAGCCGCGGUAAUACGGAGGAUCCGAGCGUUAUCCGGAUUUAUUGGGUUUAAAGGGAGCGUAGAUGGGUUGUUAAGUCAGUUGUGAAAGUUUGCGGCUCAACCGUAAAAUUGCAGUUGAUACUGGCAGUCUUGAGUACAGUUGAGGUAAGCGGAAUGCGUGGUGUAGCGGUGAAAUGCUUAGAUAUCACGAAGAACCCCGAUUGCGAAGGCAGCUUACUAAGCUGCGACUGACAUUGAUGCUCGAAAGUGUGGGUAUCAAACAGGAUUAGAUACCCCUGUAGUC
RNAcentral lists this ribosomal RNA (460 nucleotides) under uncultured bacterium. RNAcentral describes it as "partial 16S ribosomal RNA". It matches the Rfam family "Bacterial small subunit ribosomal RNA", at positions 338 to 795 of the family's 1533-position model. The record is from RNAcentral.